CUGUGACGAGAGUGAGAGGGAGAGGGAGAGGGAGAGAGAGAGAAAGAGAGAGAGAGAGAGUGGCCACUUUAUUAGGAUCACAAUCGAAAUCGGGCUCAGUGGUGAUUAUAAAUAAUAAUUAUUAUUAUUAGAAUUAGUCAUACAGUGUUGUAAUUGAGUUUAGUCGCCAUUAAAAUGAAUGUAAAUGCCAUUCAUUAUUUCUGCCCCCCCCCCCAAAAAAAAUAAAAAAUUGUCAUGUCAGUCUAUAAUAUUUGUAUUGUAUAAAAACGUACAGUAAUGACAUAUUUCAUGAAGCAGUUUUGGACAAAUGUUUUGUUUCAGUUCAAUGGAUGUUGCGCUCAGGGGCGGAGCUAGACUUUAAGCGGGGCAUGGGGUGGCCAAGGCUAAUUCCUUUUUACCGUUUGAUGUUCUUUUUAUAUAAGUUUUCUUGACAAUUUUAAACUUAUGAGGUUCUAGUGUUUCAUAUUUCGUAUCUUUUGAUGAUCAAACUUUUUUUUUUAACAUUUUGUGCUUUUUACUGUUCUCGUUUUCUUGACAACUGUUAACUUUUGAGGUUCCAGUUUUUCAUAUUUUGUACAUUUUAAGGUUCUCGUGUUAGUCACAACCGUUUACGGUUCUAGUUUUUCAAAUUUUGUAAACCUUCAUGUGCUCGGGUUCUUGACAAUUGACUCCAAUUGACCAUUGGAGUUUCGAGCUCUUCCCAUUUUCAAGCCCUUUCUGAUGUUUGUUCCCAUUUUGAGCAGCCACACACACAACUGUUCUUGCAUGUUUAUCGUACUGCUGGUUUGAGGAGGAAUUCUCCCACCGUGACGCAUCCGGAAUGAAAUGAACGUGAUUUGAAGGAGCCGUGAGCGACCAUUCAUCUCCAAUGUUUACCUAAACGGCAUCAGCUUGGGUGGCGCUGCCUUUGUCCAUCUUGGCUGUUAUUUGACUUGCGUUUGAUGAAACAUGAAGAGAGUCGACUACAUCUGAAGCAAGGCUCCCCGGGGUCUUAUCAACUGGCUGACAGCUAUUUCGGUGGAAUUACGGCAGAGACGUCGCCAGAACGCAAACACACUUGGAAUGGCUGUUUCAUGUUGACUCGAUCGGGGUGAGGGAGACUCGAAAGUCUAAAUAUUUACUUUUGUGAUGAGUUUCAAGUCAAUUCCAUAGCCUUCUUCUCAUAAGAAUUUAGUGACAUUUUGUUGCCAUGUUAUUGAAAUAUUCAACUUUCAAGGCAAGAGUUCAAUUUUUACAUUUCCCAGAAAGUCUGAAUUUAGAGUAAACUGCCUUUGGUGUAGUACCACGUAGCGCCACAACACUCCUGGCAGCACUGAGCUCAAAUGGAGGAGCAACAUCAUUAACACAGCAAAUAUAGCAACAAAAAUUAACACACAAAAAUGCAUUCAUCAAGUAGGGGUCUCACCGAGCUGACCGGUAAAAAAAAUUCUUUUUAACAACCGCAAUGACUGACAGAUGCCUGGAGAUGGUGGCAUCACGUGACUUUGGAUUUGAGAUCAGAACAGAUUUUGAGUAGAAGAUCAAGAUUAGGUAGUGAAAUUUGACUUGACGUGCGAUUAUGAGAGAGAGAAAUGCCAAUACAUUGGAAGCCGGAUAAUUUUAGGCACCUCACACUCAAACAGAGUACGUUUAUGUAUGAUAUAAACAGAGUAUGUGUUGACGUGGAAAGUGUGUGACGUGAGUCAGUUUCAUUGUCGUAUGUCUGUAAAUAAAUGAUUUUGACGUCAAAAGCUUUCUC
Long non-coding RNA from Hippocampus zosterae (dwarf seahorse), 1738 nucleotides. RefSeq lists it as uncharacterized. NCBI's taxonomy places the organism in Eukaryota, Metazoa, Chordata, Actinopteri, Syngnathiformes, Syngnathidae. The record is from RefSeq and is a predicted model, not a curated record. The transcript is spliced from 3 exons.